This 3293-nucleotide long non-coding RNA is filed under the name Mus musculus (house mouse). RNAcentral's name for it is "long non-coding RNA chr6:15366134-15369427". The record is from RNAcentral. Lineage: Eukaryota; Metazoa; Chordata; Mammalia; Rodentia; Muridae.
AAUAUCUCACUUGCAUAAAAUGAGGCAAAUUAUUAUCAGGUUUCAUGAAAGAGAAGUUUAGCUAGGUAGAGAGGAAAAGAGGGACAUGUGUUAUCAUACUUAAGUCUGAGAAGAGACACCCCUACCCUUCCCACUGUCCGUGGAGAAGAUCCUCAGAGAAAUAAAGCAGCUUGGCCAAUGUGACAAGCAAACAAGGAAGAGAUGGUGUUCAACUUGAGUUUUCUGAUCCUGCUGCCUGACAUUUCAGCCAGGUGUCUGCUGCUUCCUACAUCCUCAUUAAUACCCGAAUGCCAGUUACCAGCACUUACAAGAAGGAAUAUUUUUAUUUACAUUGUCGGCUUGGCUCUCUGGAUCAGUUAAUUAUGUAAAACAGGAAAUGGCCACUUAUGAAAAAAACUGAAUAUGAGUUUAUUAUCUUCAAUAACCACAAAAAAUAGCUAUCUAUAUAAAUGAAAAACAGGGCCAUACGUUCAUUCAGGAAACCUGGCAUUAUCACUCUGAUUCCAUGUAUAAAGAGCAAUCAUGUUUAAUAUGUCUUACGAGGGGAAUCGUUAAAUGUGUUUUCAUGCUACUGCAACAGUUUAUAUUGGAUUUGAAAUGUGUGUCCUGAAUCUCAGAACUUGAAUCUGUAUUAGUAUCGUAUAAAAAGGAAUAAAGAAACAGUAAUUUAUAACAAAUAAGUGUCACUGUGAAUUGAAUAUGGUUCUAUUUCAUAAAAUGUUAUUGGGCUUUUUUAUUUAUGAGAAUUUAUUAGACUAUUGUGGUUUUGAAAUUGCAGUAGUGGAAUUUGUAUAUCCAAUUUUUAAAAGAAACUGUAUCAUCCUUUGGGUCCUAUUAUGCUGUCUCGGUUUCUAUUCAGUUAGGCAUAAUGUCUGAAAGUGUGAGUAACUUGGCUAUGAAAGCACUGGCCAGCACCAUCAAAUAUGAGGUAUUUUAUUCUCUGCCUAAUAAUCUUUCCCUGAAGGAUCUCUUCCAAAUAACUGAUGGUGGCUAGAAAAAUGAUAUCACUGAAUCGGAAUGUUUUCUCAUUCCAUCUCAGUCCUACAUCCAGUCUAGCAAGAAAUAGUUUUGCAUGACAGUACACAUGUAAAUGUCACCGCAUAUGUCAUUUAUGCCGUAUGGGGUUGUUAUGCAAGAUUCACAGUGAUCAUGUUAGAGGAGACUGUCUUCGAUACACUAAAUAAAACGUGCUGAGUAAAAAUUGCUAGCCAUUUUUUUUCUAGACCUGUAAUGACAUAGUAAGAGCACCAAACAAAACUCCCAGAAACAAACCAUUUCUCAAGCUGUAAUAUCAACAGGACAAGUGAUCUAAAUUGCUGAGACAAGGGGAGUUCAUCACUGCACUGAGAGAGAACUUGAAAUAUAACCUAAAGGCAAGUGAAAUACUGAUUCCCAGCUCUGAAAUAACAGCAACAACUUUACCUACAGACAGAAGAUGCAUGGACGCAAUAAACGAAUUAUACAAGCCUUACACAUGCAAUCUGAUUAUUCUGACCAAAGUGUUAAUUGGAUCCUAACUGCCAGAUCUGAUAUCUGUAGUCUUGUAGUGGGAAACCUUUCAAAGUGAUGAACUGUAAUUCACCGAGCUGCUUGAAGCACUUGUAAUUUACUGCAUGCCAUGCGAUGAAGAACCUAACCUAAUGGACUUUACAUUGCCUAUAAUGCUGGAAACCUUUCAACAAGACUAGUUGGUAAAAAGUAAUCAUGGAAGUCUAUUGAGACAGGAUGAGCAAGACUACAUCUUCACCAUGGCUUAAUAAUCUAGGGAAAGCUGAUAUUUAAACCAAAGAGGUGCAGCUAUGAUAAACGAGAGGAUUCUGUCCAACAUCAUCUACAAAUUAGGUGACCUCACAAUGUAAAGUGAAAGAGAAGUAUAAGAUGUAAAAAGGACCGAGAGUAGUUUUAUAAUCCGACCUAAAUGCUAUAGAGUAUAUCAGAGUUAAACUGUUUAUGGAUGAAAUUGCUUUAUUUCAUGAAAAUAUUGCUCAUGAUAAUUGGAUUUAUAUACACCUUGUUCUUAUUUAUAUCUUAAAAAUUUCAAGGGACACAGUUAGACUUAAGUAAAAUAAAGCAAUGCAAAAAGCAACUGUUUGUAAGAUUAAUUCCAGUUGAAAUUAUGAUUGUAAGAUAAGAGGUUUGUUUUGGUACCCUAUUUAAUGUUCACUAUCAACGUUAAAACAGUAUCAUCUUUUAAAUGUGGUUUUACAAUUUUGAGUGUCAGCAGUUAUAUAUAGCAUUUCUUUAACUCUCUUAGCUACAUUUCUAAGUAUUGUAAGGGAUCCACAAAUAGAUUUAAUAUGAUUACAUAUUUUGCAGAUGUUAGCUUAUUUUUAAUUAGUUUCUUAAAAUAUGAUAUCUGUUAGAGCCUUCAUUAGGUAUGUUUUUCCAACUCAUGAGGUGUCAUAUGUAUAGCACGAGGCACAAAAUAUAGUCUGGAACAUGACAGGGUUUUGUUUUACCAAGACACGUGUCACUAUAGUUUAUUAUAGUAGCCACUGAGUGUUGAGCAGACGUGAACAAAUCUUUGAUCUAUACAAAUUAGUCAAAUCAGUCACAAGUCGCAAUUGCAGUCACUGGUACAAUAGUCUCAGUAAAUCUACCUCAGUUGUCCCUUUCUUCAGUCCUUCCCCCAUUGAAGUUGGCCUCUGUCAGUUGGACAGCCUCAUCAGCAACCUCCAGUAAAGUGAGAACAUUCUAAUGGUCUGAAAUUCUUUGGGAAGUUGCUGGUGUUUUCUCAUCAGGAUCCAAUUUAGAGGGCUUUGUUCCAUUCUUGAACUUUGGAGGCAAAGAAAAGCAAGUCCAUUUGUCGCCUUUUUUGGGGUGAGCUCGGAAGCAAAAUCAGUAUAGCCAGCAGCAGGAGGGUCUGGGAGAGCACACAUUUUUUGUCAAGAAAUACUUCAAAAUAGUCAGUAUGUCCUUUUCCCUAUAGAAAAGUAUGCCCCCAUGGUAAGACCUAGAAAUAAUAUCGUUGAAGAUAUCAAUAUAGUUAUAUUUUAUAAAAUAAAAGAAAUGCCUUCAAGCAGGCUAAAUAUUUUAUUGCUCUGUGGUGGCCAGAGUGACUGAAAAGACUCACAAGCUUUGGAUACAGUAAAUGUUGGGAAGAGGCUCGUAUGCAUGUGGCUCAGUCGAUCUACCCUGAGCAGCUGGACUAUUUCAAAACUGCAGUUCACUGUAAAGCGCAAAAAGCUGGGAGACCGCAAUGGCAGCAGUACUGUUCACUUUAUGUGCAGAUGUUUAUGGUGAGACUGUUUCAUAAAUGCUUAUUACCGUUAGCCCUUCUAAGUGUAAUUUUC